RNAcentral lists this ribosomal RNA (600 nucleotides) under uncultured archaeon. RNAcentral describes it as "bacterial SSU rRNA". It matches the Rfam family "Archaeal small subunit ribosomal RNA", at positions 1 to 578 of the family's 1478-position model. The record is from RNAcentral.
UUCCGGUUGAUCCCCCCGGACCCCACUGCUAUCGGGGAUGGGACUAAGACAUGCUAGUCGUGCGUCUUCCAGCCAUGUGGGAGGCGCGGCAUACAGCUCAGUAGCACGUGGCUAACCUGCCCUCGGGACGGGACCACCCCCGGGAAACUGGGGCUAAUCCCCGAUAGGUGAAGAACACUGGAAUGUGUCUUCGCCCAAAAGGCGUCGGAUCAUGCUCUCGGCGUCGCCCAAGGAUGGGGCCGCGACCGAUCAGGUUGUUGGUGAGGUAACGGCCCACCAAGCCUAUAACCGGUGCGGGCCGUGAGAGCGGGAGCCCGGAGAUGGGCACUGAGACAAGGGCCCAGGUCCUACGGGGCGCAGCAGUCGCGAAACCUUUGCAAUACACGAAAGUGUGACAGGGUCAUCCCGAGUGCCGACCGCUGAGGUUGGCUUUUACCCAGUCUAGAAAGCUGGGGGAAUAAGGAGAGGGCAAGUCUGGUGUCAGCCGCCGCGGUAAUACCAGCUCUCCGAGUGGUGUGGACGUUUAUUGGGCCUAAAGCAUCCGUAGCUGGCUGAUCAAGUCCCCUGUUAAACCCACCGAUUUAAUCGUUGGCUUGCGGG